AACCAUUCUCACCUGCGGCUAGACCUGCGGAAGGAUCAUUACCGAGUGAGGACCCCCCGGGUCCAACCUCCCACCCGUGUUUAACGAACCUUGUUGCUUCGGCGGGCCCGCCUCACGGCCGCCGGGGGGCACUCCGCCCCCGGGCCCGCGCCCGCCGAAGACACCUGUGAACGCUGUCUGAAGUUGCAGUCUGAGACACUAGCUCAAUCAGUUAAAACUUUCAACAACGGAUCUCAGAUC
Molecule: unclassified non-coding RNA, 240 nt
Filed under: soil metagenome
Description: partial contains 5.8S ribosomal RNA, internal transcribed spacer 2, and large subunit ribosomal RNA
Source: RNAcentral